GUCACCAGACAGAGAAUGAGUUGG
RNAcentral lists this non-coding RNA (24 nucleotides) under Cricetulus griseus (Chinese hamster). Lineage: Eukaryota; Metazoa; Chordata; Mammalia; Rodentia; Cricetidae. The record is from RNAcentral.